GAAACAGGGACUUCCCGCAAGGGACUGGUGUAGAGGUGCUGCAUGGCUGUCGUCAGCUCGUGCCGUGAGGUGUUGGGUUAAGUCCCGCAACGAGCGCAACCCUUACUCGUAGUUGCCACCCGCAAGGGGGAACUCUACGAGGACUGCUCCGGAUAACGGAGAGGAAGGUGGGGAUGAGGUCAAGUCAGCAUGGCCUUUAUGUCCAGGGCUACACACGUGUUACAAUGCGCGCUACAAAGCGUCGCGAACCCGCGAGGGGGAGCUAAUCGCAAAAAAGCGCGCUCAGUUCGGAUUGCAGUCUGCAACUCGACUGCAUGAAGCCGGAAUCGCUAGUAAUGGCGCAUCAGAACGGCGCCGUGAAUACGUUCCCGGGCCUUGUACACACCGCCCGUCACAUCACGAAAGUGGGCUGUACUAGAAAUCGCCAAGCUAACCGCAAGGAGGCAGGCGCUCAAGGUAUGGUUCAUGACUGGGGUGAAGUCGUAACAAGGUAGCCGUAA
RNAcentral lists this ribosomal RNA (500 nucleotides) under uncultured Acidobacteriota bacterium. RNAcentral describes it as "bacterial SSU rRNA". It matches the Rfam family "Bacterial small subunit ribosomal RNA", at positions 1003 to 1505 of the family's 1533-position model. The record is from RNAcentral. Lineage: Bacteria; Pseudomonadati; Acidobacteriota.